AGGAUUCUCGAGGGCAGGAACAUUGACUUCAAGCCUGCGCUUGAAGAACUUUAUUUCGAGGAGUUUAAGCGAAGCUCACAGGAACAACAGCAAGCUGCAGAAGUGGUGCAUGAAAUAGGACAAGUUGCUCGCCAAGUGCCUCAGGGCUAUCAAGUUUAUGAAAAACAAGCUCAGCUGCUCCUCUUCCACUACAGCUAUUCCG
Molecule: non-coding RNA, 202 nt
Organism: Arabidopsis thaliana x Arabidopsis arenosa
Lineage: Eukaryota; Viridiplantae; Streptophyta; Magnoliopsida; Brassicales; Brassicaceae
Source: the annotation of a GenBank genome assembly